This 21-nucleotide non-coding RNA is filed under the name Caenorhabditis elegans. Lineage: Eukaryota; Metazoa; Nematoda; Chromadorea; Rhabditida; Rhabditidae. The record is from RNAcentral.
UUCGAUAGAAAUUCGUUUUUC